Molecule: ribosomal RNA, 535 nt
Filed under: uncultured archaeon
Lineage: Archaea
Description: bacterial SSU rRNA
Rfam family: Archaeal small subunit ribosomal RNA
Source: RNAcentral
UUCCGGUUGAUCCCGCCGGACCUGACUGCUAUCGGAUUGAUACUAAGCCAUGCGAGUCAUUGUAGUAAUACAAGGCAGACGGCUCAGUAACGCGUAGUCAACCUACCCUAUGGACGGGAAUAACCUCGGGAAACUGAGAAUAAUGCCCGAUAGAACAUUAUGCCUGGAAUGGUUUAUGUUCCAAAUGAUUUAUCGCCGUAGGAUGGGACUGCGGCCUAUCAGUUUGUUGGUGAGGUAAUGGCCCACCAAGACUAUUACAGGUACGGGCUCUGAGAGGAGUAGCCCGGAGAUGGGUACUGAGACACGGACCCAGGCCCUAUGGGGCGCAGCAGGCGAGAAAACUUUGCAACUGUGCGAAAGCACGACAAGGUUAAUCCGAGUGGUUUCUGCUACAACGGAACCUUUUGUCGGUCCUAGAAACACCGAUGAAUAAGGGGUGGGCAGGUUCUGGUGUCAGCCGCCGCGGGUAAAAACCAGCACCUCAAGUGGUCAGGCAUGCAUUAUUGGGCCCUACACGCAUCCCGUAGCCCGGGCU